Molecule: ribosomal RNA, 504 nt
Filed under: uncultured bacterium
Lineage: Bacteria
Description: partial 16S ribosomal RNA
Rfam family: Bacterial small subunit ribosomal RNA
Source: RNAcentral
GAUAAACGCUAGCGGCAGGCUUAACACAUGCAAGUCGAGGGGCAGCAUAGAUUGUAGCAAUACAAUUGGUGGCGACCGGCGCACGGGUGCGUAACGCGUAUGCAACCUACCCGUCACAGGGGGAUAAUCCGGAGAAAUCUGGUCUAAUACCCCAUAACAUAUGGAUCGGCAUCGGUGCAUGUUGAAAUUUUCGGAGGUGACGGAUGGGCAUGCGUAGCAUUAGCUUGUUGGUGAGGUAACGGCUCACCAAGGCGACGAUGCUUAGGGGGACUGAGAGGGUUUCCCCCCACACUGGUACUGAGACACGGACCAGACUCCUACGGGAGGCAGCAGUGAGGAAUAUUGGUCAAUGGGCGCAAGCCUGAACCAGCCAUGCCGCGUGCAGGAUGACGGCUCUAUGAGUUGUAAACUGCUUUUGUACGAGGGUAAAGUGGGUUACGUGUAACCUUUUGAAAGUAUCGUACGAAUAAGGAUCGGCUAACUCCGUGCCAGCCGCCGCAGUAA